This is a long non-coding RNA of Apis cerana (Asiatic honeybee), 10950 nucleotides long. RefSeq lists it as uncharacterized. The record is from RefSeq and is a predicted model, not a curated record. Lineage: Eukaryota; Metazoa; Arthropoda; Insecta; Hymenoptera; Apidae.
GAGCGACGCCGCGCGUCGUGUCUAGCUGGCGACGUCGGGCGUCCUGCCCCCAAAGCGUUAGGUGGGGAGUCGUGGUGAACGCAGUUCUCGACGGGUCGCCGAGAAGGUGUAACGGUGUUGUCCUUGCCAGGCUGCGAGCGGCGGCCACCCGUGCGAAAAGCCACGUGAUCCACUGUUGGACCGGCUUGCUCGGCUAUCUUUCUCGUCGGUCUUUGGGCCUCGUCGCGUGUGUCGAUGCUCGAUGACGUCGUAGCGAGCCGAUUCGCGAUAAUUGAAAGAAAAUUCGAAAUCGUGAACGCGAAGAAAGCAUGGUUGAUCGUUGAUCGAGUUGUUGUUUACCAUUGAUUUCGAGAAACAGCUAUGAUUCACGAGUUCUCGAUUUAGUUUGUUCGUCUCGUUUGUUUUCGUUUCUUUUUUCUUUUCGUGAGUCAUGAGUGGUGUUUCGAUUCGUGCAUGAGAAGGAUCGCGCGAGUAUCAAGGCCGCGCGUGUUUAGUUGGAAACUUGUCGCGCGGUUGCCCUUCUGGGAUACGUGUUUUCAUUUCGAUCGUGUUCGCCACGCGGCUUGGACAUGUAACGUAUUCAAACGGACACGUGAUUUCUUGUGUGAUACAACGUGGACCGCGUCGUGCAGUGUUUAAGGGUGUUUUUUUUAAGGUGCCGCCAAUGAAGGGAUAAGAAUGCGAGCGGUGGUCGAGGGGUAGAGGGUGCCACGGAUUUUUCGAGGUCGAGGAGCGGUUUGGAUAAGGCAUGCUAUGCGUCAGAAGACUGGAAACAGAUGUUCUCGCGAAAGAUGACAGGGUUAAGUAGAUAAAAGGAGCAGCUGCUGGUUCCAACGACCGACGACGAUUCAUCGCGUUUUCCAUGCAGUGCACAAUGCUCUGCCAUCGCGCCCUUGUCGUUCUCUUUGCUGUCAACGUGCCAAUCGGAUGCUCAGAAUUACCCCAUCCUCGACAAAAACUCCAUCCAGAAAGACGGAGAAAAAAGCCCUCUCUUCUUCUUCUUCUUCUUCGAGAAUAAAAAAAAAGGAGAAACGAAUGCAAACACACGAUGGAAACACACUCCACUCCUCGCCCCUCCCAAAUUCCGCUCGAAGUCAAUCAUCAAACAGUUCUCGGGAGUAAACUCGAAAUUGGGGCGCAAUCGGGCGAGCGUUGCCCGGCGCAAAAGCAGUUAGCCCGCUAAUUUCGCCGAGGCCCCCGAAUUGGAUAUCAAUUCGUAUCGCGCCAAUUCGCGGAUUGCGAUCGACACAGUUCGGUUUAUACAGCGAAAUCAAACCCCCUCCUCCCCCGUCACCGCGACGUCCGAUGCAGAUGCGAGGGAGGGGGGCAGAGGAAGAGAAGGGCGCAGAGAAACGAGAUUUGGAAACCUGUGCCAAACACGCGGACACGCGGGGAAGGUUUGGAUGAAUUCCGGAUAUGCGGGAUCCGGAAACCGACAUCGAGCACGGCCGAGAGGAGGACGAGGACGACGACGACGACGAGGACGAGGUCAACUUCUGCCGUUGAUGUUUGUUCGCCGAGAGCAACGGGGCUAAGGGGUAUGGCGACUGGGCUUGUCGUUCGUCGCGAAUUAAUUCACCGUUUCCGGGUCCCGAACCUUUAUCGCUCUUCGACGAGAUUCGAGGUCGGCGUUGCAUCCUUCGAUUUCACCCUUCGGAAUUCCAGCAGGAAUCCGGUGCGGAAUUCGAAUCGAGCUCGUUUCGUUCUCCUUCUAGAAAAUAAAUUGCUAAAUCCUUGUCCCUCUGUAUCCGGUUCCCCAUAUUUAGGGAUCGUAUGAUUUUAAUAUUUAAUAUCCAACGACGAGGGAUAAUUGGUUUAUUUGAUCGGCGCUGUUCUAAUUUUAAUUUAUUUUAUUUUAAUUUCGUUCGCUCGUCGUUUAAGAAAUAAUAUUUAAUCUGAUAUAUUUGGUGUCUAAAAAUAUGUGCUCUUCAAGGAAAUAGUGGAACAUUGUUUCGAGAUGUGAUAAUUGAUUUGAUUUAAAUUUUUAUAUAGGAUUUCUAAGACUUUUUCGUGAAAGAAAUCAAAUCUCUUAACGUUCUAAUUUACUCGCAGUUAUUUUUUAUUGUUCGAUUAUUGAUCGAGCAAGGGAAUAAUCAAACAAGUUUGCGAUAAGUUGACUCGAUUUCUCUCACCUGGUUCGUAUCCCCGACAAGAGGGAACGGUUGAUGGAAAAAUAAUUAAAUAAGUUUAGUAGAUGAUGUCUCGGUACACGUAUCUUGGCGCCCGGCCAAGCUACCCCCUUGGGGGAUAGAAUUUAGCAACGAUUUGUCUGGUUGAGAAUAUUCGAUGGAACAAAACGCGGAUUUACGCCAGUGGAUGAACAUAAGGAGCUUUAACGAACUUUGUCGUCAUUUCGUUACAUAAAUCUCCCCCGCCUUUUUCUUUUUGCGUAUUUUCGUUGUGGUAUUCCGUCUCUCGUAAUGCAUUGUACGAAUAAAUAUUAUUUCGUUUCUCGAUGAAUUAACUUGGAAUCGUUAAAUUUGUUAAAUUCAACAAGCAAAGGAAAUUUAAAUUUUUAAUGUAACAAUAUUUAUAACAAUUUCGAUAUUUCGAUGAAUAUUUCUGAAAGAAGAUUAGAGAGAAGAACGCUUUUGAAAUCGUUAUUGAGUUUUGUAACGUGCAAUUCGGUAUUCGAUUUACUUAAUCCUUUCACUCUCCUAUCGUCUGUCCUCCGAAUCGUGAUUAGGUUUGUACACUGGAAUCAGAUGUAGGGAUGGAUGGCUGAGAGUGUUUCCUCGUCCGGACGUCAAUCACCCAUUAUUCAGUUUAAAUUAUGCUCGACUAACGAGAAUGCAUUACCGUCCCUCUCGAAUACAUUACGCGUUCGACAAACGACAGAUAUUUCUGUAUUGUCUGUUACGAUUUACAACAAUACUUUUAUUUUCAAUCUUCGAGUGAAAUUCGCUCGAAUAAAAUAAAUCAUGAAAGGAAAAGGAGACUACUCGAGAAAUCGUUUUAUUAAUCGAUAUUCUAAUAAUAUUCUUCGAAACGAUCUUUCUAAAUUUUCUCGAAGAAUUGGAUUAACCAUAAAAAUGAUGCAACACCUCACGCUCUACCUUUGUUUUCAUUAAGUUAAGUUUGAUUAUUAUUUGUCGCAAGAAAAUCGGUUUAGCGUUGUCCGAAUAUUAACGUUGGACCUGCCGAAUCGCUCUACCAUGACCCGGUAUGGUGUAAAUACCAGUAUCUAUGUUUACGGUUGCGAGUUGCAUUUAGACCAACUACUUGCAUAGUAGUAAUUUGUGGAUUUAGUCGACCAUAAAUUCAACAGUCCUAACACUGAUUGCAAUAUGAUGUUGACGUAAGACGCUCUAUGCUAGAUAUCGUGCAUAUAUAGAUGUAACAGAAUUUUCGAUUAAUCUCAGGGCGGGAUUAUAUUCAUUAGCAUUGCUCGUCGAAACGACGAACAAGGUGGUUUGAUCUCUUUCCUUUUCUUUUUUUCAUAACAAUUCAGAGAAUAACAAGUUUCAAUUUAUCGGUUAUUUCAAUCAGAUCCGUUUUGAGAUAAAAAUUUUUUUAAAAUUAACAUCGCUGCAUUUUGAAUAAGAAGUUAAUCAAGGCUAGAAAUAUUGGAUUCAUCGUAGGAAUUAUAUUUUCGAUAUAAUGCCUGCGCACAUUUAUUAAAUGGCAUGCAAAUUAAUCCGAAACAUCAUAAUUUAUACAACUACUGGCUAUUCAAUCUCUUUGUAAUUGUUUAUCCGCUUUUCACACCCUGUUUCUUCUUCGCAAUUGCACGUUACACGUUACGUCAACCCGCCCAUCCAAUCAGCCAUAUUCAUCUAAAUCUAAUUCAACUCUCCGCUUUCUAUACCCGUGCAUAAAAUUAAUAUUCUUUGCGCGGAAAUUGCUACCUUGAAAUUGAAAUUUGCUUUGUGCGAAUUUAUAAUUUUCUACGGAAUAUAAUCGAUUAAUAACUCGCAUCGAUUGUCCAAUUUCGUUUCAUUUCGUUCGCUUCAUUCAAUAUCGGUAUAAACGAACAAAUUAAUUUUCCAAAGAUUACACGAUUGUAAAACACUCGAAAAUUAACUUCGUCGCUGCGUAUCGCACUCAAUGCCAUAACUUUUUAAUCCUCGUUCAAAGAUUCGUCGACGAUAUUAACCGAUCCCGGUCGAGGCGAAGAAAUUUCCCCUAAAGAGGGAGGGAAAAAACCGUGCACACAAGAAGAAAGAUACAAAAUUUCAUCAACAGGCAAAGCGUAAAAAAAACGAGUGGAGAAAAACUUACUACCAACUCCCCUCUUCUUUAUUACCACCACCUGGAACACCUGUUUGCUUCCGAUAUUCCCCUUCGACCAAUAUUUAUCAGUCGGCAUCGUGAUAAAUCCGUCUAUCCGUCACAACAGGAUCUUGUUUCAGACAGGUGCAAAAAAAAAAAUAGAAGAAUCGAUCUCGAAAAAUCUCGAGAUUCGAGCCUCGAAUCGAACCGAAAGGGAGGGAAUUCGUUCGUACGUGGAAGCACGAGGGACCAAUGGAGAAAGAAGAAAAGAGAAAGAGAGAGAGAGAGAGACAGAAAUUGAGAAUCCUAUCUCUUGGACGGAUAAGAUAAGAUUGUUUGUCCAUACUCUCCGGAUCACGGUCGGAUUCGUCGAUUGUUCCGCUUCCUCUCGUUCCUUGCCUCCUCUCCGCUCUUCCUUAUCUGAAAACAACGACCUUUCCGGGCAAAUUGGUUGGCUCGGGCUCGAAGUCUAGUAAAACGUGAUUAAUCGUUCCCUUCCUUUCCUCCACCCACCUUGACGCCGCCGACCCAUGGUCCUCCAUCAUCGGUUUCGUUUCACCAGGUUUCAUACAGGUGGACGCUGUUGUAUAGCGCGAUAAUCGGAUAAACCGGGGGCCCCGGAACUCGAUUGGGUCCUCGAGGGGGUCGAGCGUUCGAGCACUGGUUUUCUCCCCUUGGGACGAUAGAAGAAAGAGAGGAGAAACCAGGGGAAAGAGAGGAAAAGAAGGGGAAAAAGACGCGGUCAGCGAAAGUGUACGUUCGUUAGGGGUGGGUCGAGGGCGAGGAACUCGCAUCCGCGAGUUUUAUUUCUUCCCUGAACUGGAAAACCAUUUCGUUGAUCGUUCUCGGCUUGUUCUCUGGUUCCACACCCUUGUCUGAGCGAAUUAAAGUUACGAGUUGUUUUUUUUUGAGGAGCAGGAGGAGAGGGGAGCCAUAUGUUAUCGCGAGCGUGCGUUUCGUCCAACUUUGUGGAUCGAUUCGUUCAAGUUCUCUUUUCUUUUUUCUUCUUAAAUGAAAAUUGAAAAUCGAUGGAACCAGAAAUCGUAAUUUGUGUUUAUGAGUUGCAAGAAACAACGAGAAUUUGGAACUAUUGUUACUUAAUUGGAAUAUAAUUUUCUAAUUUGAUGUUACUUUUAUCGUGAAAAAUAUUUUAUGAAUUUUAUGAGUGUAGAACACGAUUUGAUAAUAGGUUUCGAGCCGUGCAAAGAUUAGAAAAAUUUCGUAAUAUGAUUUUUCUUUAUAUAAAAAAGGAAAACACGCGCUUUAUCGAAUAUGAAAUUUAUUUUUCCUUUCGUAUCUAAUAUAUUUGAUAUUCUCCCUGUGGACAACAGAGAUCCUUUAAUUGUUUCGAGCGGCGUUUCCACCGGUUUUAUUCCGGUAUUUUUAUAUUUCGUUAUGCAAAUUAAAGAGGUCGUUAUGCGGAAUAUUUUUUUCACGAACAAACGGGAUUAAAGGUAGGAACGUUGUGAGAACGAAACAACGAAAUUACACGUAAAGAUAAGAUGGCGCGUGACAAAGUAAAGAAACGUGGCGUGGAAAGUAGAAAUAUUUGGAAAUAUGAAGUUAGCUUGGAAAGAAACCAACGAAGAAAAUUGUGGUCCCUUGUUUCUUUCAUACCCUGAGUAUGAUUAAAUUUUAUCAAAAAGUCUGUUGACUCGAAAAAAAAAAAGAAAAGGGAUACAAAGAAUUUUACAAACAAAUAAUUAAAAGUAAUAUUUACUUAAAUUAUUCAAACUUAUCACUAAAACUCUUCUUCACCAAAUAUUGUUAAAUUUUUUCAAAAUCAUUGUAUUUGAUUCAAAGAAGAACGAAGUAUGAAUGAAAUUAUUAUCAGACAAAAAAUAUAUGAUUUAUCGUAAUAGAUAUCUUUAUCUUCCUUAAAAGUUAAAAAAAAAAAAAAUCUCAAUUUAUUCAAACGACAUUCGAUUAAGCAACGAUUAUAUUAACAAUUACGAUACGAUUGUUUAUCAAAAAUAAUAAUAAUAAUCUCUUGUAUCGCGAUUUUAAUUGACUAAUUAAAACACGACGUUUCCCCGGCGAAAAAUGAGAUAUAUCGCAAAUGAAGGCAAAAACGGAAAAAGGGGAACGGCGUUUUGUGCAAUUUUUCAAACGGUACGCUCAUUAUCGCGCGCGUGCAAAGCUCGCGCUUCUUAGCCACAGAUUUUUGCUCAUAAUUUAAAUAAUAAACGCCCCCCGUCAUUAUGUUAAAAUAUUGUUACGCGUAUGUCACGUCGUGGAAAAUAAAUACGAAUCGCCACGACCCCUUUACCCCUUUGUGUUGAAUCCAUAUCGAUCCUUCCGAUAAAAGAAAUGAAAUUAGACUUCUAUUGUUAUAUGUAAGAAGUUUACAACAAUCAGACAUUUAAUGAAAAUGGUAUAAAAUAAAUGGUCGAUCGGACGAAAGGAGAUGAGCUGUCAUUCACAAGAGAUAAGUUAUUCGAGGCUUUGUUUCAAGAAUAUUAUCAAGAAGGGUUUAAUUUCUCGGUCGAUAGAGCUUUCAAUCGUAGCUAGAAUAAUUAAAUUCUAGAUUUCGAGAGGUAACUAAUUUAUUGGACGGUUAUAAAUCAACGUUCGGCAUUAUUAAAUAUCUCGCUCUCUAAGAAGUUAUUUAUAUUAACACGGAAGAUAGCCUUUAAUUACUUGUGCUUUAAUUAGAGAGAUGAAAGAACUAUGCUCGUCCGCGUUAUUUCAUGCCGAGAGAAAUUCUUCUCUUGAAAAUUUUUACGGGGAAUAGGCGAAUCUAUAAAUCGCAGCGUAUCGUAAUAAAUAAAUAUUUGCACGUAUGUUGGAUAAUAUUUUUCGGGAAUAUUACAUUGGCAUUGUGUUAAGACGUAUCUAAAGGAAAUCUUGACGAAAACACAAUUACUAUAUUUAAAUUAAAUGAAUAAAAUCGUCAAAUAUUCGCCAAGUUAUGCAAAAUUCUAUAAAUAUUAAAAUGGAAUUCCUUCGAAAUUAUUAAUACGAGUUAAAAUUAUUUAAUUUUAAAAUGUAAAAGGAAUAAAUUCAAAGGCACUGAAGUUAAUAUGCAUACCUAAUAUCACAUGAAGUGUAAGUGCAUAUCCCUGUACGAUGAUAUUAUACGCGCGUAUCAAAUAUAAAACCCGUUAAAACCAUAAUUUCUCCUUUUCCCCCGUGAAAAAGAUUUUUUUAAAAAGUCGCGCGCAAUUCUAUUCUACGUUUUAAAAAAUUAUUAAACGUUUUAAAAAAAUGUUCAUUAAUCAAGAUAAAAUCAACUUCUUCGAAAGAAAGAAAGAAAAAACAUUGAAGUCCAUUUGAAAAAGUAUAAUACAAUAUAAUAAAACUCUCUCUCUCUCUUUCGCUCCCUCUCUUCGAAACGAAGAAUAGAAUCUACGUACAUAUACAUACCUAUCUUUCAAAUUAAACAAUUCGAAUCGACAGAAUACAGGUAACGUUCACAAACGUAUCGCGGCCAGAUAAAAGAUCUCGAGCACGUAAACGAAGAGAAAUAAACGACACGACGGAAUCAUUCCCGUCAUCUCGUUCCAGCCGACUUAAUAACGAUUCGAUUGAAACGAGAGCGGAAAGUCAUUGGACGUCAUCCAUCAUUUCUCACCGAUAUCUAGCACGGCAAUCUCCUCCCACGUUACGCGGAUAAAAGCGAACAUUCACCCGGUGCGUCGAGUUCCAUCAAAUUUUCUGCGGUCCAGAGACGUCUCCAUACCGAACGACUAAAAGACAGUAUUGCGAAAAGUAUCAUUGAUCCUAUGGAUACACGUGUGUGUGCGUAUGUGUGAAUAGGAUACUUCGAGAGUAUCGAAACUAAUCAUCUUUUACAUCCGAUUUAUUUUUGAUGGAAUUUCGUUUUAUUUAAUUAGAGUAUUAAUUUCUUUUCAGAGUGUCACAAUGAAUCCAAGAGAAUCGUUAGAUAAGAUUAAUUUUCAAAGGGGUAUCACGGUGAUGAGAAAAUUUACAUCUAUGCACACGUAUUUUGUACGAAUGCUUUCGCUUUUAUUUGUUAUUAUUUUUAUUAUUAUUAACGAUCAAUUCUUAGAACUUAGGAAAAAUAAAAAAAAAGAAAGAGAAGGAAAGAAAUCGAAAUGGACAAAGUGAAGCAAGAAUUUGGAGAUUGAUAAAAAAAGAAGGAAAUGUAAUGCGAUAUUAAAACAUCACACGUACGGAAAUAUUCGUGGAAACAAAAGUGACAAGCAAAAAAAUUGAAAAAACCGAACUGAUAUUUCUCUCUACAGAUAAAAAUCCAUCCAUUUCAUAAUACCCAUCGACCCAUUGCUUCUCUAACCUAUAAUCCUGAAAUACCCUUUACGUACUACAUACACAUACAUAUAUAUAUAUAUAUAUCCACGUAUAUAAAGUAUGGAUUUCAAGUCCGUGACAGAAUACAAGGAGGGUUCGAUUUGAUCGCAUUGCAUUGCGAGAGCACACUGGCUUGUAUCGGUCGUGGCGAGAUUCGAAAGUAGAUUGGGAAGAGUCGGGGCAAGCGUGCGGCAGACAGCCGAGGUAAUACAUACAAUCUCCCUUGUUGUCUGGCAUCGAGUUGGUGGCAGCGGGGGUAGAAAAACUAGAAAAGGAGAUCGGGAGGAGGAGGAAGGAAUCGAAGGCCUGGAAACGAGAGAAAGAAGAAGAGAGAAAGACGGUUUGAAAAGCGCGGAAGUCUUAUAAACAAUCCCAAGAGCGAACUACCCUCCAACCUCGUGCAAAGAGGAUCAAUGGCGGACGGAAUGCGUGUAAACACCGAACCAAAGUUACACGCGUGUUUCAGUAUACAUUUCUAACGAAUUGAAGUCAAGAAUAAGAAGAAUAAUUUAUUGUUAUUUAUUGAAUUUAUUAUCUAUUAUUCGAACCAGUUCAGGAAGAAGUAUUAUUCGAAAUUUUAAUUAAUUUUAAAAUAUUUUUACGCAAUUUUCUUUGUCUUUCUCGUUUCUUCUCGCUUGUUUUCCCGUCUCUGGCUUCUUCAUUGCGCGCCCCUCCGAUUCUCAAAUCUCUGGUAUCGAGGAUCGAUAUAGAUCCGUUUAACGUUUGCGUCUGGAGGAGAUGCGUUCGAGUGUCAAUAGCGUAACUCGUAGAGAUCGUCCUGUCGAGAAACGUGUCGCGCGCGUUUAACCUUUCAGAGUUGGUUCGAAUAAUUUGCGACGUGUCGAACGGGGUAUCGCAUGCUUUUCGUGCGAACGUGUGGAAUGUUGGGUAAAUUCUUUUCCUUGGACUGCGAUAUUUUAUUGAGGAAAUGGAUUGAGGAUAUUGUGGAGUGCACAGAGGGAGGGAGUGACUUUAGGUAUUGGCGAAGAAUUUGUUGGAAUAUUUAUUUAUAGAAUCUAUAAAUGUUAAAUUUGUGUUUUUUUGUUUGUUUGUGUUUAAAUUAGAUGUAUCGAGUUGAAAAAUUGAGCAAGAAUUUUAGAAUUAAUUUGUUUAUUUAUAAUUUGAAAAAACUGGGUCAAUGAAUGUAUUGGAUGAUCGAAACGAAUGUGAAAUAUAUUUAUCAUUGUGUUAUUUGAAAAUCGAGAAAAAGUAAAGAGAGAUCGAUGCAUGGAAGUAUAAAAGUAGCUGUGGCAGGUCAGUAUCUAAAAGUUGAGUGACGUAUCAUUUUUCAGUGUCCUAUACAUGGUAUUAGAAAUAUAGGGUCACGAACGGAAAUUUUCGCUUUUUUGAUAUUUCGCUUACAAGUUUUGAUAUUUCCUUCACGUACUUAUUUUUUACUCGAUUCCUGAAACGUCACGCGUUCUGUUGCUGACACAAUUUUAUUUCCUAAGUCUUUCUUUUGAUGCUGCAAUUUCACUUCCUUUCUUAACAUUUCUUAAUCAGAAUUGCUUCUAAUCGGAAAAAGAAAUAAAUAAAAAAGUUAUUAUUUAUAAUUAGUUAACUUUUGGAAACAAAUUUUUUGUUUUAUUCAAAUUCACUGUGUGUGAAGGGAAUACAUAACAAGAGAUCAUUAAUUUAUUGUUGGCAAAUUUCUAUUUUCAUUAAUAUCUUCUCUGAAAUUUUAUCCACGAUAUUCAAAAUAAUUUGCAUAAAUGCAACAAUUUUCGUUGCCUCGAUUAUUAUAAAAUUAAACUAGGAUAAUUAAAUGUAAGUGGCAAGAGUAGUAAAUGUAAAUAACGCUUUUAAUUUUUAAUUGCUACUAACUACUCUGACUUAUUAAAGCUAAUAGCCAUCUCUUUUUUAAUUUAAUAAAACUUUUUCAUUAUUUGUUGUAUACUUACGUUUCUCAACAGUCUCUGCAAAGAAUUAAAAUUGUAUCGUGUUAUAUUCUCGUUCUAUCUUCAUACGUGUCUUGUUUUUCUUUUUAUUUCUCUCUUUUAUCUUGCCGUUUUUUCCUAAUAUUAUUUUCCAUAGUUGAUUUUUUUUUUUUUGUCAAUAUUAUACACUUCGUCCCCUCAGUUUCUUUAAUUUUCUCUUUCAACGAUAUUUCUGUCACGUGCCCCAUUUCUUCCACUAUUUUAUUAUCUUUAUAUGCUUUUUCCAUUUUCCCCUCGACCAAUUUCUAAUUUUCCUUAUAAUCCAACCUUUUUAUCAGGAUACACACUUUUCACGAACUUUUCCCUUCCUCGUAGUGGACAUUCUUAUCCAGCGCUCUGAAUUUAUCUUCGAAUUUGCAUUUUCGUCUCGUUUCUUUUUCUUUCUUUCGCGCUGUUUCGCAAUUUUUCUCUCUCGUUAACUUUUACAAUAUAUCUAAGAUUUUUAUGCGAAAUUUAUGGAAUAUUCAUAUUCAUUAUUGAAUAUCGAACAACAAUGGAAAUGAUCAAUUGAUUAAACAGAAAAUUUCAU